RNAcentral lists this ribosomal RNA (354 nucleotides) under uncultured bacterium. RNAcentral describes it as "partial 16S ribosomal RNA". It matches the Rfam family "Bacterial small subunit ribosomal RNA", at positions 338 to 688 of the family's 1533-position model. The record is from RNAcentral.
CCUACGGGAGGCAGCAGUGAGGAAUAUUGGUCAAUGGGCGCAAGCCUGAACCAGCCAAGUCGCGUGAGGGAAGACGGCCCUACGGGUUGUAAACCUCUUUUGCCGGGGAGCAAGCCUGAGCACGUGUGCCCAGGCGGAGAGUACCCGGAGAAAAAGCACCGGCUAACUCCGUGCCAGCAGCCGCGGUAAGACGGAGGAUGCGAGCGUUAUCCGGAAUUACUGGGCGUAAAGGGUGUGCAGGCGGCUGAGUAAGACAGAUGUGAAAUCCCCGGGCUUAACCUGGGAACCGCAUAUGAGACUGGUUGGCUAGAGUGCGUCAGAGGGAGGUGGAAUUCGAGGUGUAGCAGUGAAAUG